This 471-nucleotide ribosomal RNA is filed under the name uncultured Anoxybacillus sp. RNAcentral describes it as "bacterial SSU rRNA". It matches the Rfam family "Bacterial small subunit ribosomal RNA", at positions 910 to 1382 of the family's 1533-position model. The record is from RNAcentral. Lineage: Bacteria; Bacillati; Bacillota; Bacilli; Caryophanales; Anoxybacillaceae.
UUGACGGGGCCGCACAAGCGGUGGAGCAUGUGGUUUAAUUCGAAGCAACGCGAAGAACCUUACCAGGUCUUGACAUCCCUGACAACCCGAGAGAUCGGGCGUUCCCCUUCGGGGGACAGGGUGACAGGUGGUGCAUGGUUGUCGUCAGCUCGUGUCGUGAGAUGUUGGGUUAAGUCCCGCAACGAGCGCAACCCUCGACCUUAGUUGCCAGCAUUCAGUUGGGCACUCUAAGGUGACUGCCGGCUAAAAGUCGGAGGAAGGUGGGGAUGACGUCAAAUCAUCAUGCCCCUUAUGACCUGGGCUACACACGUGCUACAAUGGGCGGUACAAAGGGUCGCGAACCCGCGAGGGGGAGCCAAUCCCAAAAAGCCGCUCUCAGUUCGGAUUGCAGGCUGCAACUCGCCUGCAUGAAGCCGGAAUCGCUAGUAAUCGCGGAUCAGCACGCCGCGGUCGAAUACGUUCCCGGGCCUU